Molecule: ribosomal RNA, 254 nt
Filed under: uncultured bacterium
Lineage: Bacteria
Description: partial 16S ribosomal RNA
Rfam family: Bacterial small subunit ribosomal RNA
Source: RNAcentral
UACGAAGGGGGGCUAGCGUUGCUCGGAAUUACUGGGCGUAAAGCGCACGUAGGCGGCUUUCUAAGUCGGGGGUGAAAUCCUGGAGCUCAACUCCAGAACUGCCUUCGAUACUGGAGAGCUUGAGUCCGGGGAGAGGUGAGUGGAACUGCGAGUGUAGAGGUGAAAUUCGUAGAUAUUGCAAGAACACCAGUGGCGAAGGCGGCUCACUGGCCCGGUACUGACGCUGAGGUGCGAAAGCGUGGGGAGCAAACAAG